Molecule: long non-coding RNA, 514 nt
Filed under: Vigna radiata
Lineage: Eukaryota; Viridiplantae; Streptophyta; Magnoliopsida; Fabales; Fabaceae
Description: long non-coding RNA (VRAD_LNC016820)
Source: RNAcentral
UUUAGAGUAAACUGGAGCUUUCAAUGAUUUGGGGGAUAGGGCUGACCCGACCCUAAUUCAGUCUUAACCCACUUUCUGGGGGCUGUGGGGGCUUGGGGCUUUGAAAAAGCCCCCUCUAAUGUGGGUCAAAAAUAGUGGGCUAAUUAAGAAGGGGGUCAGGGUUGGCCUUAGGGCCAAAAAAAACGUUUACAGCUCUAGUUGUUGGGUUUUCUUCUACAAAAGAGAAAGAAAAAAAAGGGAGAAAAAAAAAAGAGAAAGAUGAAGGGUAGUGACCAAGGAGGAAAGAAGGCAGGAAGAAAGAAUACAUUUUAAUUCUUUAUUUAAAUAGCAUUUCGUAAGGGUAAAAGAGGGAUUUUAAAAGUUUGCUGGUGUAGAAAAAUGGAUGGUGCAGGAAGAAAUCGCCAUGGGUGAUUUGUGGACUCUGGUUUAUUCUAUCUUCGGAAACUGCUUUUUAUACUCCAUAAUGUCCUACUGCAAUUCCAUGAGAAUGUGUAAAAGACAAAAUUGCCCUACU